AUGGGCACUUAUUAUCAACUGGGAAUCUUGUCACCCCCACUACCCUAGAAUGUUUCCUUAUGACUGCAUUCUUACUGGCUGUAAGUAACUCUUUUACUCAACAGGGAAGAAGGGCCAGAUGGCAGGCAGACAUGUGCUUGAGACUGGGACUCUCCCUGACGUCAGUGGGGAACCUAAGCAGAGGAGGAGAGCAUGAGACUCAGCUUGGUUCCACAGCCUGUUUUGGGAAAAACGUCUGGUCUCCCUGAGUUCUAGAGGCUGGGAGGUCCAAGAUCAAGGCUCUAGCAGAUUCAGUGACUGAAAAUGACACUCUUUUGGCUUCAUAGACAGCGAUCUUCUCACUAUGUCCUCAUGUGGCAGAAGGGAAAAAGAUGCUCCUUCUGGAAGAUGCAUGGCCUGCCUACUGGAAGAAGUAUAAAGAAUGAGGCAACACUUUUGGGAGAAAUGGCUGGUAAAUUAGUAAUAGUAAACUGAUACCUGUACAAGAUCUGUGAAGGGAUCCAGUUUGAAAGGCAAACAAUUCUCACUGAGGAAAAAUAAACAUGAAAAUUUCAUAUACAAAGUUAAGAGUGGAUAAUACUUAUGGACCCUGAGAUAGAAGAUACCUACUAAGAAAGGCUCUGGGUGGCUAAAUGGACUCAAACAAUUAAAAAUUAAAAAAAAAACAAACCAAGAGCCUAGAAGCCAUUUCUACACAAGAGUUUCUUACACAAACCACUUCAUGGAGAAGUCUGCACUGAACUACCUGCCUCUGCAUUGAACUGCCUGCCUGUAUAUGUUUCUACUGCCUGAGCCAGCCCUUAUAAAGUAGUUUCUGGACUCCUGUUUUAACUAAUAAGACUAAAGCUUUCCCCAUCCAAUCAAGCUGUCAAGCUCCAACCAACCAGAGCAACUUUAUUGUAACCAAAUGAGGACAGUGCCUAUUACAUCAAUCAUACUGUGAGAAUUUGGAGACCUCAUUUGCAUGAGGACAGACCAAUCAGGAUUCAGGGGCUGGAACAUCUGUCAAUACAAGCCAGCUCUCCUCUGGCUCUGGGGGUGCACCCUUCCU
Phyllostomus hastatus (greater spear-nosed bat) is the source of this 1051-nucleotide long non-coding RNA. RefSeq lists it as uncharacterized. The record is from RefSeq and is a predicted model, not a curated record. The transcript has 6 exons. Lineage: Eukaryota; Metazoa; Chordata; Mammalia; Chiroptera; Phyllostomidae.